GCCGGACGACGCGGCCCGGAGUGCGGAGCCGCCAGCAGCGCUGGAUAACGGCCGCAGCGACCGUCCGGACGGCGCCCGUCCACUCCGCGGGCUUCCCUGUCGCCGUUCGCUGAGCUGCCGGUCUUACAGCCUCAGUCAUUUAUAAUGGUUACCUCAGAUUCCCCAGCUGUGAUUAACGUUAAACCUAGGAGGUCAGAUGCUGUAAGUGAACAUGUUUAGUGCUGUGCCUGACAAAAGCAAGCAAUCAAAAUGGGACUUCCUUGAGGGCAGGCCUGUGUUGCAUCUGUUUCUCCACCACCUAGCCUGGAAUAUACUUCUUGGUGAAUUUUUGGAUGAAGCCAUUAAAUUAAUUGCUUGCCAUCAUGAGCAGAAGCAAGCGUGACAACAAUUUUUAUAGUGUAGAAAUUGGAGAUUCUACAUUCACAGUCCUGAAACGAUAUCAGAAUUUAAAACCUAUAGGCUCAGGAGCUCAAGGAAUAGUGUGUGCCGCUUAUGAUGCCAUUCUCGAAAGAAAUGUUGCAAUCAAGAAGCUAAGCCGGCCAUUUCAGAAUCAAACUCAUGCUAAGCGGGCCUACAGAGAGCUAGUUCUUAUGAAAUGUGUUAAUCACAAAA
Molecule: long non-coding RNA, 612 nt
Organism: Galeopterus variegatus (Sunda flying lemur)
Lineage: Eukaryota; Metazoa; Chordata; Mammalia; Dermoptera; Cynocephalidae
Exons: 4
Source: RefSeq, a predicted model, not a curated record